GGAUUAGAUACCCUGGUAGUCCAUGCUGUAAACGAUGUGUGCUAGACGUUGGAAAUUUAUUUUUCAGUGUCGCAGCAAAAGCGUUAAGCACACCGCCUGGGGAGUACGACCGCAAGGUUAAAACUCAAAUGAAUUGACGGGGACCCGCACAAGCAGUGGAGCAUGUGGUUUAAUUCGAAGAUACGCGCAGAACCUUACCAACACUUGACAUGUUCGUCGCGACUCUAAGAGAUUAGUCUCUUCAGUUCGGCUGGACGAAACACAGGUGCUGCAUGGCUGUCGUCAGCUCGUGCCG
This 295-nucleotide ribosomal RNA is filed under the name uncultured bacterium. Its description in RNAcentral is "partial 16S ribosomal RNA". It matches the Rfam family "Bacterial small subunit ribosomal RNA", at positions 775 to 1067 of the family's 1533-position model. The record is from RNAcentral.